AAUGAUACCCCGAGGUAGUCCAUGCCCGUAAACGUUGGGAACUAGAUGUGGGGACCAUUCCACGGGUCUCCGUGUCGCAGCUAACGCAUUAAGUUCCCCGCCUGGGGAGUACGGCCGCAAGGCUAAAACUCAAAGGAAUUGACGGGGGCCCGCACAAGCGGCGGAGCAUGCGGAUUAAUUCGAUGCAACGCGAAGAACCUUACCAAGGCUUGACAUAUACCGGAAAGGUCUGGAAACAGUCCCCCCGCAAGGUCGGUAUACAGGUGGUGCAUGGUUGUCGUCAGCUCGUGUCGUGAGAUGUUGGGUUAAGUCCCGCAACGAGCGCAACCCUCGUUCUAUGUUGCCAGCGGUUCGGCCGGGGACUCAUAGGAGACUGCCGGGGUCAACUCGGAGGAAGGUGGGGAUGAGGUCAAAUCAUCAUGCCCCUUAUGUCUUGGGCUUCACGCAUGCUACAAUGGCCGGUACAAAGGGCUGCAAUACCGCGAGGUGGAGCGAAUCCCAAAAAGCCGGUCUCAGUUCGGAUUGAGGUCCGCAACUCGACCCCAUGAAGUCGG
Molecule: ribosomal RNA, 554 nt
Filed under: uncultured bacterium
Lineage: Bacteria
Description: bacterial SSU rRNA
Rfam family: Bacterial small subunit ribosomal RNA
Source: RNAcentral